RNAcentral lists this long non-coding RNA (520 nucleotides) under Mytilus galloprovincialis (Mediterranean mussel). Lineage: Eukaryota; Metazoa; Mollusca; Bivalvia; Mytilida; Mytilidae. The record is from RNAcentral.
AAAAUAGAAUAGUAAAGGAAAUUCUGCAUCUCGCGCGAACUAUAACACAUUGCAACAUCAUUGAGAAAAUAGUUUGUUCAUUGGAAUUUCGUAUGGACUUAUUAAUCAUUAUUUUGGAUCAUACAUCACAAGUCAUUAAACAAAGAUAUGUGUGUAGACUAUCGCUAAAUAACGAACGGCCAAUGCGUUUGAAGAUGAGGAUUUGCAGCAAACAAAUAGAACUUAUUGAUUUAGAAGAUAAUAAAAAAAUAGCCGAAUCUAUGUUCACUUUUCGUAUUCCAUCCAUCAUUUUUAAACACGCCGAACAUGCGCAGAUUUAUUUUCAUAUUCACCUGAAAAAAGCGAUCGAUCUAAGCAUUUACACUUGAAAAAAGAUCGAUUCAAAUAAGAUUGAUCUUUUUAAAACUACAUCGAUAUCUGGAAGUAGACUUUUUAAGACCGAUUGAAGAUCGAUCUUUUCCGUUUUCAUUAUUCCAUCCAUCGUUUUGAAAAACGUGUGUGUUUGCCGCCAAACAUAGGU